CCACACAUAACUAAGCAUAGAUAGAAAUUCUCGAAAAUAAUAUAUAUCAACUCAAGAUACUCUCAACAUGCCAAAACCCAAAUAUAUUGCAAUUACUUUACAAAAAUAUCAAAUUUCAACUAUUAAUUAUAUAAUAGAUUCAAUGAACCAUUAAAUCAUUAUGCAUAGUUUUUCCGUCAUAAAAUAAUGCUUAUUAUAUGAAAACAAAGUCCACUCACUAGUAGUCCCACGCUACUUGACCC
This 242-nucleotide long non-coding RNA is filed under the name Prunus persica (peach). RNAcentral's name for it is "long non-coding RNA (PPER_LNC004445)". The record is from RNAcentral. Lineage: Eukaryota; Viridiplantae; Streptophyta; Magnoliopsida; Rosales; Rosaceae.